AGGAUAUUAGUUUAGUGAUAGAACUUUAGUUUCUCACGCUAAAAGCAAGGGUUUGAUUCCCUUAUAUCCUACCA
This 74-nucleotide transfer RNA is filed under the name Bacteroidetes bacterium ADurb.Bin041. RNAcentral's name for it is "tRNA-Glu". It matches the Rfam family "tRNA". From Rfam's summary of the family: Transfer RNA (tRNA) molecules are approximately 80 nucleotides in length. Their secondary structure includes four short double-helical elements and three loops (D, anti-codon, and T loops). Lineage: Bacteria; Pseudomonadati; Bacteroidota. The record is from RNAcentral.